UAGUGUAUAGUUUAUAUUUAAAACAUCGUGUUGCAAACACGCUGAUGGCUUAAAACCCUUCACUUU
Molecule: transfer RNA, 66 nt
Filed under: Sagaminopteron nigropunctatum
Lineage: Eukaryota; Metazoa; Mollusca; Gastropoda; Cephalaspidea; Gastropteridae
Description: tRNA-Cys
Source: RNAcentral